AACCAACUUGAAAAAUAAUCACUCUCAGCAUUCAGAAACACCCAGCAGCACGUUUCUGCACACACACCAACUCCAGACACAACCUCCUCCUGCACAAAGGCACCUCGUUGGCCUGAGAGGAGAACACUGCCACCUCCACCUGCACUGCACUACCAUCAGGAUGAGUGCAUGCUACCUGGCUGACUCAGGAGGCCCUCGUGUCACAAGACAGCCACAAAGCUGGUUGUAAAAUAUAAUUUCCUACAGCUGUGAGUCAGUGACAGGAUCCUACCAAGACAUGUGCCCCGGUGCAUCAGGCCAGUCUCAUGAAGCAGCUCAGUACAUGUGCCACACCACAAGGUAUCAGGCUGGUUUCAGGAGCUCCUAGGGCUGAAACGAAGACGCGUUUCCUGGCGAUGCGCUGCCACGCUGAAAGGAAAACACUGGGCCUGGCCUGGCUUGUGAUAGCACUGUUACUCGCCUCCCUGGAACGAAGGCGCCUAGGUCACGUCGCUUAAUCUUUGGCUCACCAGGCGAACGCAACGGCCCCGCUCUCCUCAGGCAGCACACAGCUUCGAAACACACCACACGCACCCAGCGCGAGCGCUCCCCCCAAAAAAAUGUACGUUAUAUUUAAGAAAACAAACCAGAAACACCGAA
Molecule: long non-coding RNA, 639 nt
Organism: Anas platyrhynchos (mallard)
Lineage: Eukaryota; Metazoa; Chordata; Aves; Anseriformes; Anatidae
Source: RefSeq, a predicted model, not a curated record